Cinara cedri is the source of this 794-nucleotide non-coding RNA. Lineage: Eukaryota; Metazoa; Arthropoda; Insecta; Hemiptera; Aphididae. The record is from the annotation of a GenBank genome assembly.
UAAUUUUGCUAUGUAAAUUUGACCAAAGAUAACGUGACAAAUAAAUUUAAGCAACAAAGUAAAGACAUGUUUUUAUUUAUUAUGUGAAACAUCGAAACAUAUAAUUUCCAAAUUGUAACCCAAAAAAUAAAUUGAAUAAAAAAUAAAAGUGUUUAUUGUUAGUCAAAGUUUUGGAAGGAAAACUUAGCUCAGAAUUGUUUUAUUUACAUCAAAAUAAUAUUAUUUUAAGUGUAUUACCUAUACUGGAGUUACAUAUUCUAUUUUCUUUUUUCUACGGUGGACACUUCGUCUUGCAACAUGCACAUUUUGAGACGGUGUCAUAACAUCCUUUUAGCCCUUCAUCACAUUGAAAACCUCCCAACCUUUGUUCAUUCGGUAAGCAUUUUGUUCUACAACACAUACAUUGUCCAUCAGUUGUUCCACAUGAUAUUUGAUCACAUAUAGUGGCACCAGUAUCCGGAACCCAUGAUGAUUUUACAUUUGUUAACGAUAUGGACAAUAAAAUAAACGAUAAGGAAGCGAUGUAGUUUUUGAAGUUCAUUGUAAAAUAUGUAACUCUGAAAAAAAUGUUACCAAAUCAAUCAGCUAUUUUGGUCGAUUUUAGACGAAUCGUAGUGAAACAAAAUUGAAUAAUUCUUGUCUGUCUAAUCUUUAUGGAUGUUGGUGAAAUUGCCGCCACAUGUAAAUAAUAAUUAAAUGACAAUACACUGCGUGUUACUGGUUUAAUGAUAAUUUUUUUUAGGCAUCAUUUGAUCUACAAUAACCUAAACACAAAACCAUAUAUCACCCGAAUU